UAAGUAUAGAAUUUACUUUCCCUGGGCUCUGUCCUAGUGGCGUAUGGGAGCUUAGGACACUGUCUGGUGAUGUACAGUCCCUUUCUACAAUAUUGGAGAUAAAGCUGGACUUUGAGUCCGUGCCUGCAUAUUCCUACAACUUCUCAGAGUCCCACGGAUAAUAACUGAGGAGAUAAAUCAUGCAGGAAACAGUC
Grammomys surdaster is the source of this 194-nucleotide small nucleolar RNA. RefSeq annotates it as small nucleolar RNA SNORA73 family. The transcript has a single exon. The record is from RefSeq and is a predicted model, not a curated record. NCBI's taxonomy places the organism in Eukaryota, Metazoa, Chordata, Mammalia, Rodentia, Muridae.